CACCGCGGUUAUACGUGGGGCCCAAGAUGACAGACUUCGGCGUAAAGGGUGGUUAAGGCCCCAACCCACUAAAGUCGAACAUCCCCCUCACUGUUACAAGUUAGCGGGGACAGGAAGCCCUACUACGAAAGUGACUUUAACACCCCUCCUGAACCCACUAAAGCUAUGAAA
Molecule: ribosomal RNA, 171 nt
Filed under: Bathysauroides gigas
Lineage: Eukaryota; Metazoa; Chordata; Actinopteri; Aulopiformes; Bathysauroididae
Description: partial 12S rRNA
Source: RNAcentral